Molecule: ribosomal RNA, 485 nt
Filed under: Ralstonia sp.
Lineage: Bacteria; Pseudomonadati; Pseudomonadota; Betaproteobacteria; Burkholderiales; Burkholderiaceae
Description: bacterial SSU rRNA
Source: RNAcentral
CUAGAUUGAUGGCGAGUGGCGAACGGGUGAGUAAUACAUCGGAACGUGCCCUGUAGUGGGGGAUAACUAGUCGAAAGAUUAGCUAAUACCGCAUACGACCUGAGGGUGAAAGUGGGGGACCGCAAGGCCUCAUGCUAUAGGAGCGGCCGAUGUCUGAUUAGCUAGUUGGUGAGGUAAAGGCUCACCAAGGCGACGAUCAGUAGCUGGUCUGAGAGGACGAUCAGCCACACUGGGACUGAGACACGGCCCAGACUCCUACGGGAGGCAGCAGUGGGGAAUUUUGGACAAUGGGCGAAAGCCUGAUCCAGCAAUGCCGCGUGUGUGAAGAAGGCCUUCGGGUUGUAAAGCACUUUUGUCCGGAAAGAAAUCGCACUUACUAAUACUAGGUGUGGAUGACGGUACCGGAAGAAUAAGGACCGGCUAACUACGUGCCAGCAGCCKCGGUAAUACGUAGGGUCCAAGCGUUAAUCGGAAUUACUGGGCGU